Long non-coding RNA from Sphaeramia orbicularis (orbiculate cardinalfish), 2687 nucleotides. RefSeq lists it as uncharacterized. The record is from RefSeq and is a predicted model, not a curated record. The transcript is spliced from 3 exons. Lineage: Eukaryota; Metazoa; Chordata; Actinopteri; Kurtiformes; Apogonidae.
AGGUCAGGAGUAGUGCAGUUAAUCUUCUUAGUAAUCACAAGGUUCGACUGUUGGAACCGGGCAAAGUUCAACACAAGCACAAGUGAUUAUUUCUACAAGCGAGGGACAAGAGAGGUAAAGAGGCACCGAAAAAGAAACAUGAACCAACAAAAAGACAGGACGUAACAAACCCUUUGGACUUCUACAUGGAUUUCAAAGCUAAAUAUUUUCCACAUUUUAUCUCGGAAACUGCCGUCGUGAAACUUUAUGUGACACUGGCUGAAAGUUUUACUGUGAAGGAAACUAUGCAGUAACUCACCCACUGCCAGGAUUCAGCACCAAGUGUCAUUUUCAGCUGCAUUUUGAGAGAUCCUCUAAUCUGGGCCGUAUGGAGGUUCUGAGUGGCCCCUGGGCUGAUCUGGCUCUGCUCCUUCGACAGACAGUCACACAGACGUACACACAGACAGACGGACUGCUUCCCCUAUGGCUGUUUGUCAUAGUGCUGUUCCUGUCCAUCUGUCUGCUCCUCCUGCAACUGCUUAUAUAUCUGAACUGGAAACUCAGGCAGGUUGAGGCUGAUCUGUCCAGGAACCAGCAGGACAGAAGCGCCAUCUACAGGCCGGUGUCCAGAAGUUCACCCCUGAGGAAGAGGAGUGUGGGGUCACACUCAUACUCCUAAAACCCCUCUGCAUCAGUGGACUGUGGACAUUUCACACAUAAACUGUCCUCAGCAUGGAUUUAAAUGAUCUAGUCAUCAGCUGUGGUCUUAUGGGGACAUUUCCAGUUUAGGAUGCGACUUCAAAGGUUGGACUUAACACAGAUAGACCAAACAUCUAUGCAUUUUCAUCAACUUAUUAACAAGGAAACGAGGCGAACACAGAUUUCAGAGUAUAACAAUCCUUUAUUUAAACAGUGUUACACAGGGAAGGUGUGGCUGUGUGUGAGGAGACACGAGACAAAUAAGCUGCUAGAUAGAAAAAAAUCUACUGGUGAUCAUUGGUUGGCUAAGAGGAAACAAUGAGGCAGCUGGUUGGUUUUCCAAAAACUGUUCUUUUUGUAUAAAUUGUUCUUGUUUGUUUUUUUGAAGUGAGGGUUACUUUAUUUGACAAAAUCUAAAAAAAAAAAAAAAAAAAAGUGCUGUUUUCCUUGACUUUUAUCAUAUCUGAUGGAGGCAAACUGCACUCCGAAGCCUGAGAUAUGACAUGAACUACAUUGUUUACCUUUUAAAAUCAGUUUCUUCACAGAAAAAUAUCACAAUGUGAAUAUGUAGGCUCCAUUCUGAGAUCCCUGAAGGUUUUUUUUUUAAUCAGCUGGUGCAGAAGCAUCUUCUGUGGAGUUCUGUUCUUUGUUUCAAUAAAAAAAAUGUGUGGUUGUUGCAAAGCAUGUCUUUUUUUUUUUUUUUUUUAUGGUUGCCGAAGAAUAACCUCACAUCAAAUGGAUAAGAAAAAGCUACAAACAUUUUGGAAAACCUGAACUGGAAACCCCAAAGCUCCUGUGACUGGUUAAAAGAAGAGCCCCUAACAGCAGUCAAGCCCGAGGCUACGAGUACAAAAAGAAAAAGGAAGCGGAGGCAGAAAAUCUGAUUUGUAGGGAUAUUCCUUCAAUGUCAAAAACAUCGUGACAUUACAAAAAAUAAAAUAAAAUAAAAAAUAACCAAGAGGGGGUGCAACAUAUCCCACCUGUCAACAAACUACAUCAGUUUCACACAGAAGACAACAAAUGAUGAGAACAUCUACAAAUAUAGUUGUUAUAUAACCAGUGCUCAUUUAUUUUAGUUUUUUUGGAACAGCAAAAGCUUCCACAGCUGCCUAAUGUCGCACGGCUUGGUUGUCGUCAAAUUUAUUUUGCCUCUUCGCAACCUUCGAGGUUAAAGCUUCCUCAUGUGGAAUGUCAUUUUAAUGCAUAGUCGAGGUCAGACCGGUGUUUUCCCAUAGAAGCCUGAAGAGUCACAUUAAGAGGAACAUUAUCCUGAUGUGCUAUAGAUUAUAAAUCAGUACACUGCGGAAAGAGUGUGUUACUAAAGUCAUAAAUUAUUCUGUGGAUUUACAUUUAAAAUGUCCAGUCAGACAGGAGUAGAUUAAUCUGGGCAAGUGGAAUGUUUUGAUUUUUUUUUUUUUUUUUUUUUUUAAAUCAGCGGCACUUAAUUUUUAAUCAUCUUAAAUCUGGUAAAUAUGGUUUUUUUUGCUGCCUUCACUGAAAAGCACUACAAAACACAUUAGCACUUGUUCCAAUCCAUUUAACGCCACUUUUUUUUUUUUUUUUUUUUUUUUUACACAGAGUCACAGUUUUAGCUGAAUUUCUGAUGCAUUUUAAGCAAAGCAGCAGGAAACUGAUGAAAGAUUGCAAAGAUUUUUUAUUUCAGUGGCUCAAGAGCACUUCAACCCCUCUGAUUCACUUCCCUUUAGGCUGCACCAUAUUAUCGCGUCACAACCGUUUGUGUUUGUUGUGCUCGAAUGCAACUGAGUGUUUUGAUUUAAUUUGGUGGUUUAAGUUGAAGUGGAUUUCUGAUAUUUUCAGCAGGUCACAAACACAAAACAUGACGACAAUGCAGAGUAUUUGGUUCGGUGAAUCAAUUACAACACAGACGGUUUCAGGUCAAAGGUCAUCCACACAGACUGUAUGAGCGCGGAUGUGUUUGUCUACACAUUCUUAAACCAGUCGACGCAGUAGUCCUCUAUCUAGACUUACUUUAAGAUGCUCUUGUAAGA